This 1036-nucleotide ribosomal RNA is filed under the name uncultured bacterium. RNAcentral describes it as "bacterial SSU rRNA". It matches the Rfam family "Bacterial small subunit ribosomal RNA", at positions 448 to 1482 of the family's 1533-position model. The record is from RNAcentral.
AUGGUUAAUACCCCUUCUUGAUUGACGUUACCCACAGAAGAAGCACCGGCUAACUCCGUGCCAGCAGCCGCGGUAAUACGGAGGGUGCGAGCGUUAAUCGGAAUUACUGGGCGUAAAGCGCGCGUAGGCGGCGAAUUAAGUCGGAUGUGAAAUCCCCGGGCUCAACCUGGGCACUGCAUACGAUACUGGUUUGCUAGAGUCUUGCAGAGGGGUGUGGAAUUUCCGGUGUAGCGGCGAAAUGCGUAGAGAUCGGAAGGAACAUCAGUGGCGAAGGCGACACCCUGGGCAAAGACUGACGCUGAGGUGCGAAAGCGUGGGUAGCAAACAGGAUUAGAUACCCUGGUAGUCCACGCGGUAAACGAUGUCUAUUAGCCGUCCGUUUCGUUUUAGAGAUGGGUGGCGCAGCUAACGCGAUAAAUAGACCGCCUGGGGAGUACGGUCGCAAGAUUAAAACUCAAAUGAAUUGACGGGGGCCCGCACAAGCGGUGGAGCAUGUGGUUUAAUUCGAAGCAACGCGAAGAACCUUACCUACUCUUGACAUCCAGCGAAGACGGAAGAGAUUCUGUUGUGCCUUCGGGAACGCUGAGACAGGUGCUGCAUGGCUGUCGUCAGCUCGUGUUGUGAAAUGUUGGGUUAAGUCCCGUAACGAGCGCAACCCUUAUCCUUAGUUGCCAGCAUGUAAUGGUGGGGACUCUAAGGAAACUGCCGGUGACAAACCGGAGGAAGGUGGGGACGACGUCAAGUCAUCAUGGCCCUUACGAGUAGGGCUACACACGUGCUACAAUGGCCGGUACAGACGGUAGCGAAGCGGUGACGUGGAGCCAAUCCGAGAAAGCCGGUCGUAGUCCGGAUCGCAGUCUGCAACUCGACUGCGUGAAGUCGGAAUCGCUAGUAAUCGUGGAUCAGAAUGCCACGGUGAAUACGUUCCCGGGCCUUGUACACACCGCCCGUCACACCAUGGGAGUUGAUUUCACCAGAAGUAGGUAGCUUAACCGCAAGGGGGGCGCUUACCACGGUGGGGUCAAUGACUGGGGUG